UACGUAGGGCGCAAGCGUUAUCCGGAAUUAUUGGGCGUAAAGAGCUCGUAGGCGGUUUGUCGCGUCUGCCGUGAAAGUCCGGGGCUCAACUCCGGAUCUGCGGUGGGUACGGGCAGACUAGAGUGCGGUAGGGGAGAUUGGAAUUCCUGGUGUAGCGGUGGAAUGCGCAGAUAUCAGGAGGAACACCGAUGGCGAAGGCAGGUCUCUGGGCCAUUACUGACACUGAGAAGCGAAAGCAUGGGGAGCGAACAGG
Molecule: ribosomal RNA, 253 nt
Filed under: uncultured bacterium
Lineage: Bacteria
Description: partial 16S ribosomal RNA
Rfam family: Bacterial small subunit ribosomal RNA
Source: RNAcentral